GCCUGAUGCAGCAACGCCGCGUGGAGGAUGAAGGUUUUCGGAUUGUAAACUCCUUUGAUCGGGGAUGAAAAAAAUGACAGUACCCGAAAAACAAGCCACGGCUAACUACGUGCCAGCAGCCGCGGUAAUACGUAGGUGGCAAGCGUUGUCCGGAAUUAUUGGGCGUAAAGGGCGCGUAGGCGGUCCCUUAAGUCAGAUGUGAAAUCCCGAGGCUUAACCUCGGGCGUGCAUUUGAAACUGGGGGACUAGAGUGCAGGAGAGGUAAGUGGAAUUCCUAGUGUAGCGGUGAAAUGCGUAGAUAUUAGGAGGAACACCAGUGGCGAAGGCGACUUACUGGACUGUAACUGACGCUGAGGCGCGAAA
Molecule: ribosomal RNA, 363 nt
Filed under: uncultured bacterium
Lineage: Bacteria
Description: bacterial SSU rRNA
Rfam family: Bacterial small subunit ribosomal RNA
Source: RNAcentral